RNAcentral lists this ribosomal RNA (255 nucleotides) under uncultured bacterium. RNAcentral describes it as "partial 16S ribosomal RNA". It matches the Rfam family "Bacterial small subunit ribosomal RNA", at positions 524 to 776 of the family's 1533-position model. The record is from RNAcentral.
UACGUAGGGGGCAAGCGUUGUCCGGAAUCAUUGGGCGUAAAGAGCGUGUAGGCGGCUUGGUAAGUCCGCUGUGAAAGUCCAGGGCUCAACCUCGAGACGCCGGUGGAAACCAUCAGAACUAGAGUCCGGAAGAGGAGAGUGGAAUUCCUGGUGUAGCGGUGAAAUGCGCAGAUAUCAGGAAGAACACCCGUGGCUAAGGCGGCUCCUCUAGUACGGUACUGACGCUGGACGCGAAAGCGUGGGGAGCGGAACAGG